This 203-nucleotide ribosomal RNA is filed under the name uncultured Lactobacillus sp. RNAcentral describes it as "partial 16S ribosomal RNA". It matches the Rfam family "Bacterial small subunit ribosomal RNA", at positions 159 to 354 of the family's 1533-position model. Lineage: Bacteria; Bacillati; Bacillota; Bacilli; Lactobacillales; Lactobacillaceae. The record is from RNAcentral.
GAUGCUAAUACCGGAUAACAACAGAUGAUGCCUAUCAACUGUUUAAAAGAUGGUUCUGCUAUCACUCUUGGAUGGACCUGCGGUGCAUUAGCUAGUUGGUAGGGUAACGGCCUACCAAGGCGAUGAUGCAUAGCCGAGUUGAGAGACUGAUCGGCCACAUUGGGACUGAGACACGGCCCAAACUCCUACGGGAGGCAGCAGGU